GUGAAUCAUCAAAUUUUUGAACGCAUAUUGCACUCUCUGGGAUUCCGGAGAGUAGGCCUAUUUUUUGGUAAUUUGAAAUAAUAUAAAUUUCGAGAUUUUCUUGGAAUCAAAGAUGGGACGGUCAAGCUUUCGUGUGGUGGUCUCCUAAAAUGCAAGACAAGCUCAUUUAUUGGGGUGCGUG
RNAcentral lists this unclassified non-coding RNA (181 nucleotides) under Ambisporaceae sp. RNAcentral describes it as "partial internal transcribed spacer 2". The stretch from base 1 to 71 matches the Rfam family "5.8S ribosomal RNA", at positions 84 to 154 of the family's 154-position model. The record is from RNAcentral. Lineage: Eukaryota; Fungi; Glomeromycota; Glomeromycetes; Archaeosporales; Ambisporaceae.